RNAcentral lists this long non-coding RNA (481 nucleotides) under Lactuca sativa (garden lettuce). RNAcentral describes it as "long non-coding RNA (LSAT_LNC009915)". The record is from RNAcentral. Lineage: Eukaryota; Viridiplantae; Streptophyta; Magnoliopsida; Asterales; Asteraceae.
UGUCGCAUUCGGAUUCUGUUACGUUUUGUCUUGCGAAGCUUUCGAAAAUGGCGGAUUUUACGGGAGUUGGAGUGGGGAGAAAGAUUUGGUCCACAUCCAUGUGGAUCAGGGGAGAGUUUUCGGUUUCUGUUAUUGAGAAUUCCGAGUUGGUAAGAACCGAGAUUGCUGAUGUUGAAAAGCCGAUCAUUUCACUGGAUUUUGCAUCAUUGGAUUCCCUCUAAAAAAAAUAAUCAUCAUAAUAGGAGUCAAAUCUAGAUAUAUGUAGAGACGUCUAAAAGAGCUUUUAGCUUUACAUACAAGACAUAAUUAAGUGAAAGAAGUAACCUCUGCAGGUGGAUGUCGAUCAGGAAGCUGGAAUGAGAGAAGUUCGUUGAAAAGACAACCAUAAUAGUAUUGGCUAAUUAGUGCGAUAUUUCCCUGUAGUAGCUCCACACUCUUAGACAAUGCCUUACAAAUGGUUGGCUCUUCUGAUAUCACAAAA